CCUACGGGAGGCAGCAGUGGGGAAUAUUGGGCAAUGGGCGAAAGCCUGACCCAGCAAUGCCGCGUGAAUGAAGAAGGUCUUAGGAUUGUAAAAUUCUGUCCUAUGGGAAGAAAAAAAUGACGGUACUUGAGGAGGAAGCCCCGGCUAACUACGUGCCAGCAGCCGCGGUAAUACGUAGGGGGCUAGCGUUAUCCGGAAUUACUGGGCGUAAAGGGUGCGUAGGUGGUUUCUUAAGUCAGAGGUGAAAGGCUACGGCUCAACCGUAGUAAGCCUUUGAAACUGGGGAACUUGAGUGCAGGAGAGGAGAGUGGAAUUCCUAGUGUAGCGGUGAAAUGCGUAGAUAUUAGGAGGAACACCAGUUGCGAAGGCGGCUCUCUGGACUGUAACUGACACUGAGGCACGAAAGCGUGGGGAGCAAACAGGAUUAGAUACCCCAGUAGUC
Molecule: ribosomal RNA, 442 nt
Filed under: uncultured bacterium
Lineage: Bacteria
Description: partial 16S ribosomal RNA
Rfam family: Bacterial small subunit ribosomal RNA
Source: RNAcentral